Nocardiopsis flavescens is the source of this 74-nucleotide transfer RNA. It matches the Rfam family "tRNA". From Rfam's summary of the family: Transfer RNA (tRNA) molecules are approximately 80 nucleotides in length. NCBI's taxonomy places the organism in Bacteria, Bacillati, Actinomycetota, Actinomycetes, Streptosporangiales, Nocardiopsidaceae. The record is from Rfam.
GGGCGGUUAGCUCAGUUGGUUAGAGCGCUACCUUGACACGGUAGAGGUCACAGGUUCGAAUCCUGUAUCGCCCA